AGGAGUUCCCUUCUCAGGCAUGAAUUUUCGGCUUAUAGUAGGGCGGUUGGGGAGGUAGCCUGCAUAAGGGUACUGUCCAAAGUUGACAGCUGCAUGGAGAGCAGAAGCAGUCCAUAUGAUGAUAGUGCAUGUUUCUACUAGGUCUUCGCGAGUCUGCAUUUUAGGCCACCAGGGCUCAUCUUUUUUGUCACCAUGGCCUUCCUCUACAAGCUCCUUCCACCAGGAUUGGAGUUCAGUGUCUUUUUGAAUUAUGUCAUCAGUCUUGUAGUAGAAAGAGCAACAGUCUUCAACCCAAGUUUUAAUUGCAAACCAGAUUUCAAUCCCAUCAACAGCAUAUGGAUAGUCCUCGAUCAGUAGGCGAAGACCAUGUGGAGAAUUUGCAUCCUUGAUUGCAACUCCUCUGUUGAUCAAAGGCAAAGCAAUGUAAUUAGAAUAAGGAAUGGAUAUUUAUUACUUAUAUUGUGCUCAUUUGAGUUACUUAUGCAGUAGCUAAUAACUCAAAAAGUGUAGAGUUUUGUUUACCUCUUGAUGAGAUCUUCAGGGAAAGCUUGCUCAGUGAAAACCCAAUCCUUAUAAACCACUGAAGACAUCUCCAUGGCAUACCUAGCUGGAAAAACUGUCGUCUCCAGAACGCCGCCAGCAUUAAUCAGGAUUUGCCUGGCAAAUGCAUUUAUGUUCAUGGUGUCACGGAAGUGAGGAUGCAGAAGUUUGUAAAUUGGAUGAACCACGCUUAGCUGUCUGUUUGUAGCUAUUACAACUGGCUCACACACUGCAUGGGUGUUCAACCUGUAGGCAAAAAAUUAAAGGAUUAUCAGAAACCCAUUCAAAGUAAUAUGAUGAAUUUAAUUUUAAAGCUUUCUUUGUUUGAAAGAUUAAUACCAGUGACUGAUAAGUUGAUGAUAUCCAGAGUCAUUUACAGCCACAUAAGCUUUAGCCAGUUGCCAUAUGGAGCCUUCUACACCUUCUUCAGAUGGUGUAUAUACUUUACUAAUGCGACCAAAUCGAUCUCCAUCAGGAUGAGGCAAGCUUAAUUCAAUCACCAAUGGCUUCAAAGUUCCAUCACUUUUCAAGAAAAGGAUUGUUCUGCUAGCAUAGAUCUUGUUCGAAGUUGAGUUUAUCCGCCUCAGGUAUGGCAUCAAUGCAUCAUGAUGAUCUAAUAUGAAUAACUUGUUCUGCUUGAACGCCUAUCCAACCAAAUUCAUUUUCAUCAUUAUGAAAUGAUAUAAAAUCAACAUAAGCUAAUUGCAAUGUAAAGGAAGCAAAUCCAAGAUAUUACCUCAUCCACUGUUAGUCCAUCCAUGGUAUUCCCUAUAUCUUGUUCUGUUAUUGUACUAGUUUGAUCACCGUAAACUUUUGGGUCUAGUUUGCUUGCUGGUGGAAAUUCCUGCAGUUCCGUUAGAAGCAGAUAUGGUUAAAGAUGAACGAAAUUGACCCUCGAAAGUUUUGUUUUCUUUUUGUCCAUUAUCAUUGCAAAACAUCAUACAAAAAUGUUGUGAAGAUUACUUGGAGACGACGGAUGUUGACAGGGUUCACUCCAGCCAGCAUUUCUCUGGCAAAUUCUUCAUCUGUCCUCCAAGCAGAUUUAUCCUCUGCUCCAAAUCAUUAAAACAUCACAAUUAGAUAAAAGGAACUAGUACAUGAUAUGGUAGGCUAUUGCUUAAAGACUCUCAAUUUAGAAUUUAAUAUUGGUGGAACCAUAUACCUUUGAUCACUUGAGGCAUGGGGAAUCUGAGCAAUUGUGCACUGUCAGUUCGGAAAAUUUCCUUGAGCAUCUCUGCAGGGAUGUUGUCUCCGAUAUCCUUCAAUAAACCUUCUGGCAAGGGAAUGCCUCCUUCAUAGAGUUUAAGAACAUCCUCAAAGCUGUCGAACUCGUUAGGAGUCUUAUCAAACAGGGCUUCUAGCUCCGGUCUAAUGAAUUGAGCUAUGGAUUUCAGUGCAUAAGCCAGGAAGUCUGAUAACUUCAAGUGUCCAAAUCGUUCAUCUCUUGGCACAUAAAUGUUUAAGCUCAUAAGAAGUGGCAACCUACUCUCGCUGUUAGAAUCUAUUGGAAUAAGAUCAGAAAAAUCUUAGUGAUAAUUACAACAUCAGUUAUUUAAAAUCCAAAUUAGAAUAUCAACUUUUACAGUAGAACAAUACAAAAUAAUAAUAAGAUCCUUCUUGUGACUGCUAAUCAAUGCUUUGAGGAAGAAAAUAUAGAGAGAGAUAUUUAAAUGGCUAACCUGUCUCUGUUGCUGGUCGGCCAGUUCUUCCCCUGCGAGGGUAAGGGUACUUGCUAGACCCUCCCAGCGUAGGACGGGCGUAUUUGGGACCCUUAUCAGGGUUCCCUAGAUCAUUGUAGUAAGCAUAGUCAUAGACCCUGUCCCAUUCCUGGAGCUCUCCCUUUCCAUCUCCUCUCAAAUGUACUAGUUCUUCUUCUCUGUAUUUUUGCAGCGGCAAUGGUGUUUCACUUGGGAGAAAUGUCUGCACAAAUAUAUUGCAGGCAUGAACUUUUGUCUUUAACUUACAAUACAAGUCACUAAUAUACUCAUAACAUACUAGGCUUGCACUAAGAAGUUAGAACUGCCAUCAGCUACAAUGAAUGGUGUGAAUUAUUCGUUACCUUGUUAACGAAGAAAACACGGUCCUUCGUGUAUUUUUCUGCAGGAUACACCCAUGAGUUGCAAACAAAGUGGACCCGGCCCUCACCAGGAACAUCUUCAAGGGUGACAGUCUUAAGGAAGAAUUCAGUGUGAUGAUUGUUUAUUAUUAAGAAGGCUCCUGGAACUCCUAUUUCGUCUUCCCAGUCAAAGGUAACCUUGAAUGCAGACUCUCCUGCUGUUAAAGGAGUGAUUGUGGUGAUCCAGUCUUCCAGAUAUGCUGGAUUUCCAAGUUUCCCCUGAAACCCUUUUUCUACAAAAACACGUUAGUUCAGAAAAUAAUUGUAUAUCAGGUCUUAGUUGGAGCCCGCCAUUUUAUGCAAGUUGCUAUAAUUGUCAAUGCAUGUCAAGGUCUCAUAACUCAUAAACUUAGUUUGAGAAAUAACUGCCGCUGUUUUUGUUGGUGUAUAGGUGUAGCUGCUGUGAUGGAAUUAGAAUAUGAAGGUUCUAUUCUUGUUAGGAAGGCUGCCUUGGAUCAUAGUCCAAGUGUACAGCAGAGAAUGUAAUAGCAUUUUGCCACCUGUCAUUAUCUUAUAGGGUAAUGAUUGAAUGGCUAGAUUUAGUGAUGUAAUAGGGAAUAUCUCCUCCCUAACGGUUUUUGUCAGUGUCAUGAUAUAUACAUGUUUUGGUGCUGGGCUGAUAAAGCUAGCAUUCUUCUAAAAGCUCUCUCUCUCUCACACACAGAAAUCUGACCUCUCUUUACUCAAAAGCUCUCUGCAUUUUCAUUGAGAUUUAUUACAUGUUUUGAUUGAAUCUAUAUGCAUGAUAAUGUUCUGAAUAUGCUAACAGUUUUUUCAGAACAUUCAAACACAUCCCAAAAAGAAUUGGUUCUGAAUGAAAACCAUAUAAUCUAAAAGUCUCAAAAGCUAUGCCAACAGCCAACUACAUGGAGCUUCAUUUUCAGGUUAACUGGUAGCUAGACUGGUAGUUGGCGUUCACAGGUGAGGAUAAGAUUAACUUUCCUGUCUAAUCACUUCAUGACAUGGCCAUGAUUUAAAAAUCAUUCUCACAAGCUUAAUUAUGCCACUUAUUGAAAACUAAACUGGUUUUUUAAUCAUACUUUUUGUAACCCAAUUUUCCAAAUAUGCUGGCUUUCCAACUUUUCCUUGCGACCCCUUUUCUACAUAAACAGAUCAAAUUCAAGAAAUGUUCAAUUACAAGACCUCCAGAUCAAAUUGAGAUGUUCUGUUUAUCUCUUUUGUGGUUAUGGUGUUAAGAUGUGUGAAAACAGCAUAUUUAAAAAGAUUAUAUAUUUACUUCAAAAACACUAUAAUAAUUACUAGUAACUUGGCACCAUUAAAUCCCAUGUAAAAUCAUUGAAGCUAAUUAAUCUAGAAGCAAACUAAAAGGUAAAGAGCAUUCUCACCAGGGUCACCCUUAACGGAACUAAUGAGCCGCAGAGAAACCGCUUUGCCUAACAGCUCAUGAACACGAUCAAGAACCGAUGCUUUAAAAUCGUUCAAGUCCAGAACAUUCUUCUUCAUCAACACCACUCUCCCUUUGAUCUUCUUGCCCUCAUGACCUGUCUCAAACUUAGUUUUCUCUUCCUCCAUUUCUUUGGGGUGUGGAUCAAUGGUGAUGUUCUGGGAUGUCUUGGCAGCUGUCGAAGCCGAAGUCAACGGUUGAGAUCGUGUAACAUAAGUCAUGCACAAGAAACGAGGCAUUUUCAUAAAACUCGUCGGCAACAGAACUAGUCUGUGAUUGACAAAUGUUACAUGAUCUGGUUUGUUGACUGUUGCUGCAACAACUGAGUUCAACUGAGCUCUACAUGGAGCUUUUGUCCUGAAUUUCAUCAAAGGAGUGAGAUACUUAAAAUGCAGCAUGGGGUGUUCUGCUUCAAGAACUAUGGGGGAGUUAACAGAAAAAGGUUUGAAGAUCUCAUUGUGAAGAGAAUGGUGUGUGAUAUUUAUGAGAUGUGCGAGUUCACUGUUCAAUGUAUAUAAUAAUAUAAUACAUAAAAAUAAAUUUUUUUUUUUUUUAAAGACUUCGGCUCUACUUUGCGUGGUCUUCAGGGUUGACUUAAAUACCUAGUCCUUUUCUAUUUUUUGUGAUUCAAGGUAGCUUCCACCCUGUUAGUAUGAAAAUUGUAUUGUCAUUUCCUAGACUCUAGUAUUGGUUAGGAAUUAGUGUGUGAACGUGUUUUACUGGAAGCUUUGGUGCAACACAUUCAUUCUGGAUCUUUGAAGUAUGACAUGAUCGAUAUGAGAAACUGAGUUCAGGUAAAUCAUGACAUAAUCAUGCAUUCAUUAUAGGAUUCCUAGUUGGAGUUAUUUUCAAUCAAGUAUUUUCAUGUUAAUCCUAUUUUUAAUAGGAUUAGAUUUUAUAUCUUGAGAUUACUUUCCUAGUUAAACUCUAUUUUGAUUUAAGUUAAAAUAUUAUAUUGAUACCUAAUUGGUCUCUUUGAUAAAGAUUGUUAUCUUGAAUAACAAUCCUUGCAUAAGUUGACGAAUUGAUUAGUAUUAGUGGGCUGAAUGUUUUUUUACGUUUUUGAUCCUGUGCCCAUUUUUAAAUCACAACAAAUAGUCAUAGUUGAAUAGGUUUAGUGGGUGUUCAUAUUGCAUCAGGUUUAGGAGUCUUAAUUGAAGUGGGUUUGGCAUUUGUGGGAUGCUAUUUGACUAGGCAUAGGGAACCUUGAAUAAAAGGAGGACGCCUCUCCUUGGUUAUGUGGGCUUUUGAUAUUUUGUGUGGAGCAUAUAGAAUUCUAAGGAAAAAGCUGCUGUGCAUUUAUUUGAGAUAAAACAUCAAGUGUUAAACGUUUUACUUGGUGAUUUAUCAAACACUUUAAUCAUUCAUAUCGCAUUCAUAUGCAUAUCGGUGACUGAGAAAGUAGGGGACACCAAGAUCGUUGUGGCGGUCUUUCUCCGGUGAGCUUGAAUCGAUCGUGACCAGUAUCGAAUUCAACAUAAGGAGAGUUGGAAGAACUCCGGCGAGCUUGAAGCAAUCGUGACUAGUAUUGCGUUCAACAUAAAGAGUGUCGAAGAUCAUCCCGUGACAGAAGUUGAGUUACGAAGAAGUCGGUAAACAUUAUCUAGAAUGAGUCUAGGAUAAGUGUGUGAGUACUUCUUGUAAUCAUCGUUCUAUAGUGGAUUUGAGUUGGACUGAGGAGUCCCGUGGAUUUUCCCCAGAGGUAGGGUUUUACCACGUAAAAUAAUUAUCUGCGUGUUCUUUUAUUUUAAGCUUUGCACAUCUCAGGAUUGAUAACUAAUAUCAAUCCUGCUCCAAAGGUUGAUCAUUAUUUAUUGCAAAAAUUCGAAUUAACUUGUUUAACAUUCUCCAGGCAUAUAUAGAUAUCCUACAGGUAUUUUCACACCCUCUUUACCAAACCAACAGAUAUAGAGUUCAUAUUCUGCAAAUUUAACAUCUAGGAAUCUUGAGUAUCCUUGUUAAUCCCAAGUGUGUGUUUGGGGUUUGUCUUUGAUUGUGCAAAACAUUGACAAACAUACAAUUAUAGGCUAGACUUCAUUGUAUCCGUAAGACUUAUUUGCAUAUCCCCUUUGCACACAAACAAUGAGAAAAAAUAAAAUCUGAAAAAUAGCUUAAAUCUUACGUGCCCUUGAAACAAUCUUUCGUACUCUCAUUAUCAUUCCCCAUAAACAUUUCCAUUAAACCACGACCCACAGACCUUGUAUCAACAAAAUUUAGCCAAUCUGUCAUAUUUGAAAAUAACUUCACUGACAUGACUAUGAGAGUGAUGCAUGUCGACACCAUAACUAUAAAUCAAAUAUUAAAAUCCCCACCCACAAGGUAGGUUCUUCUGUACCUGAAAUAUUAAUAAUAUAUGCAAAUUCUUGGAAGUGGUCUUAAUGUCAAUGGGAAAUGCUAGAGAGUUUACUUGCAAGAGGUAUGAACACAUGAUAAAGAACGCAAAAUCCUUGCCAGUUGUGUUUCCUAUUUGUGCCACAUCAUCACUCAUUAUAGGCCAGUCAAAUUAGGUAGACUUCAAAGUCAAAAUACCCUCUACACGCUAUUAAAAGUCAAGUUAUUACCCCCCAAGCCCCGUUAAUCUCGAGAGAUUUUAGGUUCCUAACUCUAUUGAUCAUACAGUAACCGAGCUCUGUUGGCAAUGCGUAUUGCAGACCUGCAUAACAAGAACAUGUCUGAGAGGGAGGGAGAGAAGCAUUUGAGCAUUUGAGCUAGUCGGCAUUCUUUUAUACUUAUAGCACUAAUGUCAAAAGGAGGAAGAUGAAUGAUGUAGCCCGUAGGUUUAGAGUAAACAGCCCGUAGGUUUAGAGUAAACAGUCCGUAAGUUUAGAGUACACGCUUUGAGCAAUAGAACAGAGAAGAAAUAAGGGAUCGAGGAGAAGAAUUAGAGAUCGAAGAGACGAAGGGAAAGGGAAGGAAUCAGAGAGUUUAAAGCAAGGAGAUUUAUCAUUAAUCAAGUCUGCCUUAAAAGAUUACAAACAACUCUAUUUAUAGAGGCAAAAUCCUUUUUAGUCUAGGAAAAGGAAAAGUAAACUUUAAGAAAUAGGAAAGCAAAUUAACUAAUAAGAGAUCCUUUAACAAGAAGGAAUCCUUAAGAAUCAGGAAAACUAAUAAGAGGAAAACUAAUCCAACUAGAAGUAGGAAAACUAAUAAUAUGCAUUCUGCAUCAUUCUCCCCCAUCGAAAAAGAACUCGACACCGACGAGUAAACCAAGAUUAUGGAUGACGACGUCGUUUGUAAGUACGGAUGAUGGGAGGACGGGAUGCAGCCAAAUCCAGAUCAUGAAGAGCAUCUCGAUAACUUUGCAGAAGAGUAGAAUCCAACUGGCAAAAUUCAGCUUCUGUAAUCCAAGUAUCCUCAGUAGCAGGCCUUCCAACCCAACGAACCAGAUAACGGGUAGAACCUCCAGUAGACGAGGCCACAACUUCAUGAUCCAAGACGUCCUCAAUCUGAUCUGUAGGGACAGAACUAGUAAAAGGAAUACGCGGCACCAUAGGAGGAGUGGAACCCUGAGCAACAUCUAUAGAAAUAAGUGGAGAAAAGGUGCCCCGAUAAGGAGAUAAAUCAGAAACAUUGAAAAUGGGACUUAUAUGCAUAUCUGCAGGCAACUCAAUCAAAUAAGCAUUGGACCCAAGCUUCUUAAUGAUACGAUAAGGACCCAUCGAACGAGCAUGAAGCUUCUUGAAAGAGUGCUUAGGAAAACGUUCAGGACAAACCCGCACCAUAACAAAAUCCCCUUCUCGAAACUCCUGUUGACGACGAUGAGCAUUGGCUGCCAGUUUAUAAGUGUCUGUGUGCAUGGAUAUCUGCCUACGGACGUCAUCAUGCAAUUGCCUAAUAUGUUCAGCAAACGACGUAGCAGAAUCUGAGGUGCGGGCAGCCACAGGAAGAGCAACUAAAUCAACAGGUGAUCGGGGAGAAAAUCCAUGAACCACCUCAAAAGGACUCUUACCGGUACUUCGAUUAACUGAGUUGUUAUAAGCAAACUCAGCCACAGGCAACAAGAGAUCCCAAUUGCCAGGUUUAUCCCCAACUAAACAGCGGAGUAAAUCACCAAGGCUGCGAUUAACCACUUCAGUUUGACCAUCUGUUUGGGGAUGGAAAGCAGAAGAAAACUUCAAAGUAGUACCGAAAAGCUUCCACAAAGUCUUCCAAAAAUAACUAACAAAUUUGACGUCACGAUCAGAAACAAUGGAGACAGGGAGGCCAUGCAAACGGACUACUUCCUUAAAAAAUAACUUGGCCACAUAAGAAGCAUCAGUAUUUUUUGCACAAGGCAGAAAAUGUGCCAUUUUAGAAAAACGAUCAACUAUGACAAAGAUAGAGUCAUAGCCGCGACUAGUCUUAGGUAAACCAAGCACGAAAUCCAUACUAAGAUCCUUCCAUGGUGUAUGAGGUAUUGGUAGAGGGGUAUAUAAACCUGUGUUACGCUUGCGAGCUUUAGCUAGCUGGCAUGUGCGACAUUGGGAGAUGAGAUGAGCAACAUCACGUUUUAAUGACGGCCAAUAGAAACGAUCUUCUACCAAGGCAAUAGUCUUAUCUUUGCCAAAAUGUCCUGCGAGGCCGCCACCAUGUAAUUCCCAAACAAGGAAUUCACGGAGAGAAGUACGGGGAAUACAUAAUUGUGUUCCUCGAAAUAAGAACCCAUCCCUCGUAAUAAAGUCUACAUACUCGCGGCGGUUACCAUUGGAAACUUCAUGAAAAAUAAUUCCAAAAUCUGGACAAGAUGAAUACUCAGUCUUAAUGCGAUCAAACCCGGUUACUUGAACUGUCAUUGUGUGCAAAAUAGUAGCCACGCGACUAAGGGCAUCAGCUACCUUAUUGUCAAUGCCUGGACGGUGUCGUAAAACAAAUGUAAAGAUCUGGAGAUAUUCGGACCACUUAACAUGUCGACUGCUAAUGGUUCGUUGAGAGUGGAGAUAUUUCAAAGCUUGAUGAUCUGAAUACAACACAAAUUCGUUUGGCAGUAGGUAAUAUUGCCAAUACCGAAGUGCUUGUACCACAGCAUAAAACUCCUUAUCAUAAGUAGAAUAACGUUGCUUUGCUUCAUUAAGUUUCUCACUAAAGUAUGCUACGGGAUGUCCUUCUUGGCUAAGCACACCACCAAUCCCAACUCCGGAAGCGUCACAUGCGACUUCAAAGACUUUAGAAGAACAGGCGCUUGAGUCAUCUUCUGUUUCAAAAUUGUAAAGGCCUUGGCAGCUGCAUGGGUCCAAAGAAAAGCUCCUUGUUUCAUACAAUCAGUUAUUGGUGCCAUAAUAGUACUGAACCCUGGAAUAAAUCGUCGAUAAAAAGAGGUGAGACCAUGAAAGCUGCGUGCCUCUGUCAAAGUCGUGGGUGUUGGCCAAUCAAUAAUAGCCUCUACCUUGGCAGGAUCUGUGCUAACCCCAGCUGCAGAAAUAUUGAACCCCAAGAAUAAAACUUCAGGUUGAAGAAACGAACAUUUUUUUAAGUUGGCAUAUAGUUUUUCCUUCCGUAAAGUAGAGAAUAUCGUCCUAAGAUGUUGGAGAUGUUCCUCCCGAGAGCGGCUGUAGAUCAGUAUGUCAUCAAAAUAGACUACCAGGAAUUUACCAAUAUAAGGUCGUAACACAUGAGUCAUCACCCGCAUGAAUGUGCUGGGUGCAUUGGACAUGCCAAAGGGCAUCACAAGCCACUCAUAUAAUCCAUCAGGGGUUUUAAACGCGGUUUUCCACUCAUCUCCUUCACGAAUACGAAUUUAAUGAUAGCCACUGCGAAGAUCUAUCUUUGAAAACCAUUGGGAACCCGCCAAAUCAUCCAACAUAUCCUCAAGUCGCGGUAUGGGGAAACGAUACUUAACUGUAAUUUUAUUUACGGCGCGACUAUCUACACACAUUCGCCAGGAGCCAUCCUUUUUGGGGGUAAGGAGGACUGGAACAGCACAAGGACUUAAGCUAUGACGAAUAAAGCCCUUAGCCAGCAAUCCCUGAAUUUGUCGAUUCAAUUCCACUCGCUCAGGUGGAUUCAUACGAUAAUGGGGGAGAUUAGGAAUUUGCGAACCAGGAACAAGGUCAAUUGCAUGCUGAAUCUCUCUUGCUGGAGGUAGGUCGUCGGGUAAGUCAUCAGGUAUGACAUCAGAGAAUUCAGUGAGGAGCUGUUGUAUAGGGUCGGCAAGUGGAGUGGUGUAGUCAGAUGCCAGUUUAAGCAAGAGGGCAAAGACCACACCAGUUUCUUGCAGUUCAUAUGCAAAGUCUACCGGUGAUAAAAGACUCAAUCGAUGCUCCAAAGCCUUCUCUUUAAUUGACAGGUUUGUUUGAACAUCCUUAGUUGGUUUGAUGGCCGGAUUGGAAGGCUUUAACGUUAUGUUCUUUCCUUCAUGUUGAAAAGUAUAGGUGUUCUCCUGGCCGCAACUUUUCACAUGACGAUCAUAAAGCCAAGGCCGGCCUAGGAGCACAUGUGCGACACUCAUAGGUAAGAUAUCACAAUAAAGUUGCUCGUGACAGGGACCCAAUUGAAGAGGAACAAGACAUCUUUGGGUAACAGGUAAUCUGGUUUUAUCAACCCAACCAACAUGAAAAGGAUGAGGGUGUGGCUCGGCCUGAAGGUGAAGGCGAUCAACAGCAGUUUUAGAGAUAACAUUCAGCGUACUUCCCCCAUCAAUAACUAGUUGGCAUCUAUUGGUACCGCAAGGGACAUAGGUUUGAAAGAUACUUGUACGCUUCCAUGAAUCAGGAGGUGGAGAUGUAGGUGUUGAAUAAAUACAACGCAUAACACUCAGUUGGUGAAACGCUUCCUCCUCACAGCAAUUAUCAAGUUCUGGAUCAUAAACAGGUUCAAGGGGCUCCACAUACUCGUCCACACAAGAGUCUUCAUUGAGGGAGCCAAGGGUUAAAGUUCUAUGGGGACAACGGGAGGCGAUGUGGCCCUUAGCGUGGCAACGAUAGCAUUCGAUAUGAGAAGCCAUGGAUGAGGCUGGUCCUUUGUCUGUUGCAGGUAUUGUAGGAGCAAGUGGACCGGCAACGCCAUAUUUAGAGCUAGGAGCACUACGGUUUGGAGUAAGAGUGGAAGAGUGCCUAGAAUGCCCUGUGUAUCGACGUUGUGGACGCAAAAAAGUUUCAGCUUCCAAUGCGUGGCAAUAUGCAUCUUCCAAAGUAUGCGGACGGAACCUCCGAACUUCACGUUUGACAUCGUCACGAAGACCAUGGAUAAAGCGGGACAUGGUGAUGUCGGGUUCUUCACGAAUCCCUGCACGUAUCUUGUGUUCGAUAAAACGAGCAUGGAAAUCAGUAACGGGUAAACUUCCUUGUGAAAGGGUCCAUAAUUGGUCAUACAAUUGAUGGCGAUAAAAGGUGGGAAGAUAUUGUUCGCGAAGCUUUAAUUUCAUCUCGUCCCAGAGAGUCACAGGUGGCUGUCCAAAUUGGUAUAGUUGCUCUUCCACGGAAUUCCAAUAUUGGCGAGCGGCUCCUUGUAGCGUCAUCUUACCAAUGCGAAGCUUAUGAGCAUCCGUCAAAUCAUACCAGGCGAAAUAAUCUUCCAUGGCUUGAACCCAAUCAAGAAACAUCGUGGGAUCCCCACGACCAUCAAAAGUAGGAGCGGUAGGCUUGAUGUGGUGGAUGACAUCGUUGUCAAAAUGGCGAGGGGGAUGAGUGCCGUGAUCAUGUGGGACUGUCGAAGGGCCCGUUGUAUGUUGGGUAUAAUGGGCCGGUGCCAAAGACCCAAAAGAAAAGGGGGGGCUCCAAUUGAGCCUUGGGAUCAUCAAGCGAGAGCCCAGUGGAGCUAGGAGGCAUGCCGUAUGGCACGGCCUUGAGUUUGUGAUCCACCGGUGGAUUGGGCAGAAGGCCACUCUUUGGUGGUGGCGUAGAGGAACUCGAGAGCAAGGCGGAGGUAGAAGAAGGUUCAGCAUGUCCAGCCCGAAAAUGAUUGAUAAGCAACUGAACGGAGUCUUGGAGUUUGGUGAUGGCCAGGUCCGUCUUCGCACGAUGUGUGGAAGCCUGUACCAACUCGUCUUUGAGGUCAAUGCUGAGGUUGGAAAGUUGGGUCUCCAUGCCAGCGAUAUCGUCAGAAACUUUGUCUUGGAACGCAUGAAAUUGUUCGGAAAGGCUGGCCACGGUUUGGGGCGCCAUGGGAGAGAGCAAACGGAAACGAAAGCGAGGGCAGGCUCUGAUUACCAAUUGAUGUAGAACAGCCCGUAGGUUUAGAGUAAACAGUCCGUAAGUUUAGAGUACACGCUUUGAGCAAUAGAACAGAGAAGAAAUAAGGGAUCGAGGAGAAGAAUUAGAGAUCGAAGAGACGAAGGGAAAGGGAAGGAAUCAGAGAGUUUAAAGCAAGGAGAUUUAUCAUUAAUCAAGUCUGCCUUAAAAGAUUACAAACAACUCUAUUUAUAGAGGCAAAAUCCUUUUUAGUCUAGGAAAAGGAAAAGUAAACUUUAAGAAAUAGGAAAGCAAAUUAACUAAUAAGAGAUCCUUUAACAAGAAGGAAUCCUUAAGAAUCAGGAAAACUAAUAAUAGGAAAACUAAUAAGAGGAAAACUAAUCCAACUAGAAGUAGGAAAACUAAUAAUAUGCAUUCUGCAUCAAUGAACUUUGUGGCUCCACUGGUGCCAACAAAAGAAGGCGCAUUGCUGCAACAAACUGCAUUCAAGGUCUGUAGAUAGAUAGAUAGACUGAGAGAAGCAUGGAGAAGCCGGAAGUUGUACAUAGACCGCUCCCCAGUAAAGAUGAAGACAAGGCAAAGAAAAGCAGAAUUGACCAACUUAUAGAUUAGUGAACAAGGAAAUAGCAUAAAACCGAUGAGUACGAAGUGCAAAUCCUUUGUUUAUUAUGUAUUUUGUGUUUAUAUUGGUCAUGUGUCAUUUGCUGAUGGAUGUUGCAUUUUCAAGUACCUUGACAAUGUAAACAAUUUCACAGUACCCAUUUUUUGAUUUAUUCUGACGAAAAAAGCACACACACAUAUAUAAAUAUAUGUAUGUAUAUAGCAAGCUAAGAAUAAGAUGAGUAAAUUACAAAAUGGAGAAGCAUUAGAUUGAGACACUGUUGGGAAUCCCCUUGCCAGUAAGUCCAGCCUCACUAGAAGGAUGAAGCAAAGUGUAUGGCAUCUUGGCCGGUCCAACCCGGUUCUUCAAUUUCUCAUCCUUGUUCAUUCUUUUCAUGUUUUCCUCAAUUUCUUCCAGCUUCUUUCUAAACUUCUUAGAGGCUUGCAAUAUGUCAUUGUCUGCUGUCCAUUCUGGCGCAUCUCUCUGCCCCAAAUAAAGCUCAUCAGCUGAGUGUCUUGACAAGAUUUCUAUGGAGGCCAUGCCAAGAAGGGUCUGCAGCUGAGGUGUAAUUGUUUUCAAAAAUGCCUUUUCAGGGUUUGUCUUGAGCUCCUCAUACUCAGGAGUGCCUUCUUCGGGCAUGAACUGCAGGCUUAUGCUUGGCCGGUUUGGGGGGUAUCCACCAAAAGGGUAUUGCCCAAAAUUGAUUGCUGCAUGAUGGGCUGAAGCAAUCCAUAUGAUGAUGGUGCAUGAUUCUAUCAGCUCUUCACAAGUCUGCAUUUUAGGCCACCAUGGCUCAUCUUUUUUGUCACCAUGACCUUCCUCUCUGAGUUCCUUCCACCAGGACUGAAGUUCUGAGUCCUUUUGAACCAUUUCAUCAGUUUUAUAGUAGAAGGAGCAAUAGUCCUUAACCCAUGUUUUAAUUGCAGACCAGAUCUCAAGCCCAUCAGCAGCAUAUGGAUAGUCCUCUAUCAGUAAGCGUACACCAUGUGAGGAAUUUGGAUCUUCAACUGCCAUUCCUCUGAACAGAGAAAAGAUUAAAUAAAUAAUGGCCAUCAAUCCUAUCAUCUUUGUUAUUUUUGAGUUUAAACAAUAGUGACAACAUUUAUCAAAUCAUUUAGACCAAAUUUUAUUCAUACAUAUGGCAUUGUGUCUUAGCUCUUAUUUCCUCAAAGGGCAUGCUUUUCCAUUUCAAUUGUGUUGAAUCUGUUACCAUAAUUCGGAAAUGAUAAAUGUUACUAUCAGAAGAUUUUACCUUUUGAUCAGAUCUAUGGGGAGCGCUUGUUCAGGAAAAACCCAGCUCUUAUACAUUACAGAAGACCAUUCCAUUGAGAACUUUGCAGGAAAGACUGUUGCCUCUAGUAUUCCUCCAGCAUUAAUGAGAACCUGUCGAGCGACUGCAUUUACAUUCAUAGUGUCACGAAAGUGAGGAUGCAGAAGCUUAUGAAUUGGGUGCAGCACGCUCAACUGCCUAUUUGUGGCUAUCACAAAUGGUUCCAUCACCGCAUGAGUUCUCAACCUGCAACAAAACAAGAACAUUUCAAGAUGCAUUUGGGAGAAAUAAAAAGGUUAUGAAUUUAUUUGCUAGGAUUUCUUUAACAUUGUUAUACCAGUGGCUGAUGAGCUGAUGAUAGCCAGAGUCAUUUACAUUCACAUAAGCUUUAGCAAGUUGCCAAAUGGAACUCUCGACACCCUGGCUAGACGGAGUAUAGACUUUGCUAAUGCAGCCAAAUUGAUCUCCACCAGGAUGUGGCAAGCUUAACUCAAUAGCUAAUGGCUUCAAAGUCCCAUCAUUCUCUAAGAAAAGGAGUGUCCUGCUUGCAUAAGUUUUUGUGGAAGUUGUGUUUAUACGCCUCAGGUACGGCAUCAAUGCAUCAUGGUGGUCUAAUAUGAAUAGCUUCUUGUUCUUGAUUGCCUAUUACAGAAAAUGCUUUUCAGUAAUUAUCUUCAAAUAAGAAUAUAUGAUUGCAAAGCCACCUGAGGACUACUAGCUUCAAACUCAAUUUUGAAAGAAGCAACUCAAUGGUAUUACCUCAUCUAUGCUGAGUCCAUCUAAGUUAUGUCCUAUGUGUUCUUUGGUUAUUUGACUAGUUUGAUCCCCAUAUAUGUUUUGGUCUAGCUUGCUAGCAGGUGGAAAUUCCUGCAGUUUAUUUAGAAGUAAUGACGAUUAGGAUGUAGAAUCAGAGUAAAUAUAAUUCAAAUGUAACUUCUCUUCUGUUCCAUUUUCUUCAAAAACAACUGUAGACAACAGAUAAUGAAAGCUUAGGAUUACUUGGAGACGACGUAUGACGACAGGAUUUAUUCCAGCCAGCAUUUCUCUUGCAAAUUCUUCAUCAGUUUUCCAUGCUGACUUAUCCACUAACACAAUACAAAUCAUUAGAAACCCAGUAAGCAGUAUAUUAAGGAACGGAGAAUGAAAGAUCUUAUAUUUAGGAAAAUAAGUUUUCCAAAAAAAUCAAAAUAUUCAUUAAAGUCAUAUUAUGAGUAGAAAGUGACUGCCUUAAUAUGUACCUUUGAUCACUUGAGGCACUGGGAAUUUCAGGAAUUUUUCACCAUCCGUUCGGAAAAGUUCCUUGAUCGUCUCUGCAGGGAUGUUAUCCCUUACAGAUUUUAGUAUACCCUCAGGCAACUCUAUUCCUCCUUCAUAGAGUUUAAGAACAUCUUCCAAGCUGUCAAAAUGUUUUUGGGGGCCAACAAGUAUAGAUGCUAGCUCAUCAGGUCUAAGGAGCUGAGAUAUGGAUUUCAGGGCAUAAGCAAUCAAGUCUGACAUCUUUAAGUGACCAAACCGUUCAUCUCUCGGAACAUAUAUGAAUAAGCUCAAAAGAAGCAUCAUCGGGGUCUCACUUUCAGGAUCUGUUAUGAUGAAAGAAGAAAAGUCUUAACAAUAAACCUUUCUUCUUGAAUACUUUCACAGCAAUAGAGAUCCAUAUUCCUUGUUUGUCAUUGUUAAAGAUUGAAAAAAAAAAUUACCAAGUUUUGAGUAGUGACUGAGAAAUGAAGUUAAUUGACUGACCUUCCUUAGUUGGUCGUCUUCCUGUUCUUCCCCUCCGAGGAUAAGGGAACUUACUCGAGCCACCGAGAAUUGGACGGGCAUAUUUUGGACCCUUAUGCGGUUUCCCCAAAUCAUUAUAGUAGGCAUAGCCAUAAACCCUGUCCCAUUCCUGAAGUUCUGUUUCAUCAUCAUCAUCUCCUCUCAAGUUUACUAGCUCUUCUUCUCUGAAUUUCUUUAGUGGCCCUGGUGUAUCACUUAAAAGAUAUGUCUGCACAAAUAUAUAGUUUAAUUUGUAAUUGAAAUGACCCUUUACAAUAUUACCAGCACAACAUAGCAGUCUAUCAGCAAAAUCAGUGUGUUUUUCACCUGUACUUCACUCUUUAAGAGAAAGUUACAUUAAUUCUUCAACUGCAUUAGAAGUUAGAACUUUAUGCUUUCAUCCUAUAAAUAUACCUUGUUAGCGAAGAAAACACGGUCUUUUUUGUAGUUUUUAGCAGGAUACACCCAUGAGUUGCAGACAAAGUGGAUUCGACCUUCUCCAGGAACAUCUUCAAGUGUGAGAGUCUUCAAGUAAAACUCACUGUGAUGAUCAUUUCUUAUUAUGAAUGCUCCUGGGACUCCAAUCUCCUCAUCCCAAUCAAAAGUAACCUCAAAUGUACACUCCCCUGCUGUUAAGGGAGUGAUUGUGGUAACCCAAUCUUCCAAAUAUGCUGGCUUUCCAACUUUUCCACGCCCAUUUUCUACCAAAAUGAAAUAAAAUGAAAAAAAGAAAAUGAAAACACAUCAUACUCAAAAACCAAUCAACAAAUGUUCAAUUAUGAGACCUCAAAAUUUGUGGGCUUUUAAAAUAAAAUUAAAAAAAUUCUAAAUUGAGAUGUUCUCCUUUAUCUUUUGGGGUUCUGGUAUUAAGAUAUAAAGCAACAUUCUUUAAUAAAUAAUUACAUACUUAUUCAAAGGAAAACCAUUGAAGCUAAUUAAUGAAGAAGUAAACUAGAAGCCACAUAUCUAUAAUCAUAAAGACAGAAUAGUAUUCAAUACUCACCAGGGUCACCAUUAACAGAACUAAUGAGCUGCAGAGAAACCACUUUGCCCCACAGCUCAUGAACACGAUCAAGAAACGAUGCUUUGAGGUCAUUUAACUCCAAAACAUUCUUCUUCAUCAACACCACUCUCCCUUUGAUCUUCUUGCCUCCGUCUUUGGGGUGUGGAUCAACGGUGAUGUUCUGGGACGGCUUGGCAGAUGAAGCCACAGUCAACGGUUGAGAUCGUGCAACAUCAGUCAUGCGCAAGAAACCAGGGAAGAAUUUCAUAGUCAUAGGCAACAAGCCAUUGGGUGAAGUGGCAUGAUCUGGAUUGUUGAUUGUUGCUGCUGCAACAACUGAGUUCAUCCGAGCUCCACAGGGAGCUUUUGUCCUGAAGCUCAAAGGACUGAGAUACUUGCAAUGAAGCAUCUUUGUCUGCUGCUUCAAGAAAGAACUGAGAAAAUUUAAUAAAAGAAGGUUUUGAGGAUCUCAGUCAGUGUGAAGAAUUAGUGAGAGAAGGUGUGGUAUUUAUGGGAAGUGUGAUGUGAGCUCACUGUAUCAGUCUUUAUGAAAUCCUAGUCAUACUGAUUUUACAGCUUUUGGCCUCAAGUUCUGGUCUUUAAACUUCACCAACUCAAUCUUAUGUUGUUCUCAUCAUGACCCAACAAUAAAUAAAUAAAAAUUCUUUUUAUUUGUUCUAUUGCAUUUGCAGGGGUUGACUUAAAAGACCCAGACUUUUCCUAUUGUUUACAGUUGUAUGUCAAUUUUGGAAUUUGAUGAUGAUGAUGACGAUGGUUCAAGGCAGCUUCAACCCUCUUUUUUUACCAAACCGACAAAUAUAGACAGAUUUAUGCAAGAUUUCAAUUACAUACUUUCUGUAGAUUCUGAAUAAAAAUGGCUUGCUGAAUUUUCUAAUAUUAUCCAUUUAGUUAUUAAAAAAUACACCGCCAAUACAUUAUACAUACAUAAGGGUUUGCUGGCCCCAUCACAAAUGACAGAUUAUGCUCGAUCCACACACCGUAAGUUAUUCUGUGCCAAAAAAUAUUAAUAUAUACAGAUUUUUGGAAGUGGGCAUAAUGUCAAUGGGAAACGCUAGAGAAUUUACAUUCAAGAGGUUGCAAAAGUCUUGCCAAAGCCAAUUGUGUUUCCCAUGUGCCACAUCAUCAUUCAUGACAGGUCAAUCAGUAAAGUAGGUAGACUUCAAAGUAAUUUACUAGGAAAGUGCUUGGAAUGACUUUUCUUGAACAAAUUGCUGAUUAAAUUUUAAUAUUGUGAUAAGAUGAAGCCAUAUUGAGCUUUCACAUUAGAGUUUAUAGUCAAGCCAUAUGGUAGAAGAUGACUGAACUUUUUCUUUUCUUGGAAUUGUUAAGGUUUCACCUACCUAAGUAGUAAUCUUUUAUUCAAAAUAUCAUAUAAAAUGUUGUUACUAAUGAAUUUUUUUAACGGUAAUUUAACAUAAUGUACAACAUUUGCUAACGGAGUAAAACACAGGAACUAAAUUGGCCAAAUUAAAAACACAUGAAUUAAAUUUGCCAAAUAUACAAAAUACAGAGACCAUUUUAACAUUCAAGCUUUAAUUUUAUGGAAGUAGUUGACUGUUUAAAUUUUAUAUUAUUUUUGCUUUUACUUGGUGAUGAUUUUCAUUUAAUUUUUGAACAGAAGAGACACAGGCAACUUAUUCUAUGGAUUUGCAGGCAUGCUGAGAUUGAGAUUAGGCGCUUAUGCAUAUUGUCAUGGAUGAUUUCAAAGACGCUUUUGCUGCUCCCUCUCAAAUAUGCUUAUUAAAAGUAAGGCUUAAAAUUCUGAUUUUCAUACUUUCCAAUAUCUUGGAUGAAAUGUUGAUAUUGCAUAUGCCUAGGCUGUUGCUGCAGAAUUUGAAAGGCAUGCAAUGAAGCUAAUGAACCAAUGAAUACAGUGUUAUUUAUAUAAAGAUAUUGUAGCCAAGCAAUUUACAAGGCCUUAUUGCAACUGUAAUAUUCUAGCUUAUUACACACAAAGAAUGCAUUAUACUACUUAAUUAUAUAUAGUAAUUGCAACUUGCAUUAUACUAAUUAGCUUUAGUCUAUAUACUAGCUUGAGAGGCUUAGAUUGAGACACUGUUGGGAAUUCCCCUGCCAGUUAGUCCUCCUUCGCUAGUAGGAAACAGCAAAGUGUAUGGCAUCUUCACCGGUCCAACUCGGUUCUUCAGUUUCUCAUCAUUGUUCAUACGUGUAAUUCUGUCCUCAAUUUCAGCCAGUUUCCUUCCAAAUUUAUCAAAGGCUUUCAAUGGUUCUGUGUCUGCUGUCCACUCAGGAGUGUCUCUCUGCCCCAAAUACACUUCAUCAGUAGAAUGCCUCGACAGAAUUUCAAUGAGGGCAAUGCCAAGCACUGUCUGCAGCUGAGCAGUAAUUGUUUUCAAGAAAACUGUAUCAGGGCUGGAUUCGAGCUCUUUGUACUCAGGAGUCCCCUUCUCAGGCAUGAAUUUUCGGCUUAUAGUUGGGCGGUUGGGGAGGUAUCCUGCAUAAGGGUACUGUCCAAAGUUGACGGCUGCAUGGAGAGCAGAAGCAGUCCAUAUGAUGAUAGUGCAUGUUUCUACUAGGUCUUCGCGAGUCUGCAUUUUAGGCCACCAGGGCUCAUCUUUUUUGUCACCAUGGCCUUCCUCUACAAGCUCCUUCCACCAGGAUUGGAGUUCAAUGUCUUUUUGAAUUAUGUCAUCAGUCUUGUAGUAGAAAGAGCAAUAGUCU
RNAcentral lists this long non-coding RNA (19501 nucleotides) under Prunus persica (peach). RNAcentral describes it as "long non-coding RNA (PPER_LNC006708)". Lineage: Eukaryota; Viridiplantae; Streptophyta; Magnoliopsida; Rosales; Rosaceae. The record is from RNAcentral.